GGUUCGAUGGUGUAGUUGGUUAUCACGUUCGCCUCACAUCUACAGUGUGCGCGAAAGGUCGCGAGUUCGAGCCUCGCUUGAAUCA
Molecule: non-coding RNA, 85 nt
Organism: Dothidotthia symphoricarpi CBS 119687
Lineage: Eukaryota; Fungi; Ascomycota; Dothideomycetes; Pleosporales; Dothidotthiaceae
Source: the annotation of a RefSeq genome assembly